This is a long non-coding RNA of Drosophila obscura, 2887 nucleotides long. RefSeq lists it as uncharacterized. The transcript is spliced from 4 exons. The record is from RefSeq and is a predicted model, not a curated record. Lineage: Eukaryota; Metazoa; Arthropoda; Insecta; Diptera; Drosophilidae.
AGUGUUACAUAAAUAAAAAAAAAUAAAUUCAGUCGGUUUAGAGUAUAGUUCAGAUGAAAUAAUCUGUUUAGAAUGAUUUGGCUAAUUGUUUAAAAAUAGUUUAAAAGUGCUGAAAAAGUCGGAAAAAGUCUGCCCUGCGCAUUGUAUGCGCGCCCUCUAGCGGAGGAAAUGUAGAAUCUACACUGUAGAUGUAGAUGAUAGAUGUAGCUCACAUAUGUACAUAUGUAUAUGCUGACUGAGAACGGGUACAAAAGUAGAGUCGUGGCCAUAGAAGCGACUCAACGUUCUCUCUAGUUCAUAUUACAGCUCAAGUGUUUAUACUCUACAUGUAAAUGCAACCACUGUGCAGCGGUGGGGAGCGGACAGAGCAGCAACUUCUGCUGCUACUUCAACGAAUAAAUAUUCAGAAUGCAAUUACGCAUUUAAUUUUCUAGCACUUAUCGAGUCGUCUUACCCUCUUGUUAUUACUUGUCCCUUAUAUUUUUGUUGGUGCUGUACGAGUUGCUGCUGAAAACUUACUUAACUUUUUGCAAUGUCAUUUGGGAAAGUUUGUAAUCUUUUUCGGUAGUGCAUACUUCAAAAGUGUCAAAGGAAAGGAAGCUAAGAAAUUAUUUAUACGAUUUUCAGACAGUCGAAAGCAUAAAACCCGAGCAUUAAUAAAACGCCUUCGCUGCCGGGACUACUUAUUCCCUUCCCUUCGCGCACCCCAUCCCGGGUAGGAGCACGAUCAGACAGGAAGCUACUGACAAACUACCAUGGAGUUUCUCUAACUGCCAGACGAACUUUCAAAAAUGGUGUUUCUACUUUCCAUGCGCUUAAUUUGUGUGCUUUAGGCGAAAGAAGCUGUGGAUAUUCGUUUAAGCGCUUGCCGCUAUUCAAGAAGGCUGAAAUGUUACUUUUCCUUUUCAUUCAGCUGCUGCUCGUGGUAGCCACCGUAGAAGGCAGCGAUGGCAAGUUACAAACCGUCAUCCAUUGAAGUCUGCUAACCAGCUGCCUUCUGAUUAAUGCAAUGUUUUUCUUAGAUAUUUAUCUAUUCACAGGCUCGCAUCCGCAGUCGUAGCUUGCAAGCACUUCGAAGCCGCUGUGCAUAGAACCCUGCAAACGUGCGAGAAACAGAUGGGCAUAUUUCCCGUGUAUUUGCGAUGUUCAUUCAGCUGCAGCAACAGACACCAAUUGAGUGUUUUCAAUUUCCAUCUCCGCACCAAGGAAAAGGACAGCUAUCCACUGUGCAAUGAUCUAUACUGCAGCGCUAUUAGCAUGCCCCCUCAGCCGACCAGCACAACGCCGGCUCCAACAGCGGCAGAAUCUAUACGGUCAUCGGCAGUAGGUAUACAAACAUCAACCGAGGGAGUUUCCGGCUUAAAUGAUAGUUUAGCUACCGGUACAAGCCGUGAUACGAUCCCCAGUAUACAAGUACAUCAGAAAAACAGUACAAAAAGUGACGAAAAGUGAUGGAGUCUCUGAAUCUCCCAAUGUCACCAGCGAAAAGACAGCAGAUACAACAACAGAGUGAACAAGUCAAACCCAAAAAGCAGAUAAACCAACAGAUGAGCCUCAUCAGAAUGAUGAAACAUUAGAGACAUCAUCAGUCUUACGAACAGACACUACAGAACAUACAACAUCAGAUGAACUUACAGAUGCACCAACAGAUGCACUUGUCGAUACACCAGAAGAAAAACUGUCAGAUGCACUUAUCCCUAUCCAUACACAAGAAGAUACGAAAAGAUAAACAUCAACAAGGGAAGUAGUUGAUGCAACGUCAAACUCAAUAGCAGUUAUCUAGGUUGAGUCAGAUCGAAGAGCUAUCGAUGGGAUUGUCUUUUAUUUCACACUGACGAAUCAUCGAUAAUUAUAAUUAAAUGUAGCUAUCGCUUGCACCAGAAACUAAAAUUAAUCGUCGAGUUAACCGAUUAUAGCUAUUGUCUGUACUUUAAAAUUUUUAUUUAUGAGUAGGCUUGUGUGGGGAAACAACAAAUCCAAACAAGAAUAAAUAUAUUUUGUGGGUUCGGAAACAGUUCCUUCUGGAAUCAACAUUCUAAUAAAAUGAGCCACUUUACUCUGGUAUAAAAAAAUAAAAGACGGAAUGACGCAAUGCCUUAAGGACUGCCAUUUGCUCCAAUUUAGCCAUAGUUGGUACAUAUGUAUGCAGUUGCAUAUAUAUUUUUUCUAGAAAAAAGAUCUAAUAGAUCCUACCUCAAAACCAUACAAGGCAGGUAGGGCAUGUGUACACUUAAAGAUCAAAAUAUCCGAUGGAUGUCUCUGCUUCAGACGCCUUCUCCUAAGAUGCGCGAAGAGUUCUGGAUAUCGUCCAUGUCGUUGCUCUACGGUUUUCAGUACAGAGAAGCCAGUCGAAACUUGGCGAAACUCAUGUAUCACAUUAAUGCCGUUUAUAUUGUACGUAUAUAUUCCCACUUAAGCGUCUCAAGUAAAAGUGACCAGGUGGCUGUUGGACUGCACUGUGUCUUUCAUCAAGGGGAACAGCAUUCAAACUCGUUUGGGAAGCUUGGACCAGAUAAAAAUCCUUCCUUCGUGAGGACCUUGCUAGAGUAGCAAUGCCAUGACCCGAGGACACUGUUGCAGAACCCAAAACGAAGUAGAAUCAGAAUUUGAAUGAGACGGACUAGUUAAUGGAAUAAAUUUAAACCAAAUACCCAGAUUUUGCUUGGCACUUUUAAUUUAAAGUUCCCAGGGUCAAGGUUAUAGGAAAACCCUGAAUAAGUAGGUAUAUAUGACGAGAGCAUCAACUAAGUACCAUCUGAUCUGCUUAGACUUGCUCCAAUGGAUAAAUCCCUGUUUCCUUUUGUGAUUCCAUUCGAGCUGCUCACUCAACUUGCACUUGACAUUAUUGCGCUUGUUGGGAAAUAAACGAUUAUUAUGACAAACUGUU